Molecule: long non-coding RNA, 1622 nt
Organism: Folsomia candida
Lineage: Eukaryota; Metazoa; Arthropoda; Collembola; Entomobryomorpha; Isotomidae
Exons: 6
Source: RefSeq, a predicted model, not a curated record
GUUCGACUGUAAAAAGGAAGAACCUCUCUCCAGCUCAGACAGACCGGCCCGAGUGUUCCCAGCGUGAACACCUCCACUCUUCUCUCCACAUUUUUCCCUGCACCACGCCGUCUGCGUGGCUGCCAUCUUUAAAAUAAAUUCUACGACCUAAAUUAAGUUCCUAAAAUUCAUUUUGUAAGAGUAAUAAUUGCUAAUGUGAGUAGUAAAGAUUCUGAAACUCUUGUCAAGUGAAAAUUACGAAGUAUACCGUUAUUGGACAGGUUAUUCGGGUCAUUUUUCAUAAAAACUCGUACAUUGAAUCGUGCCAGGUGCAGUUUAGUAUAGAAACGGUGCAUAAGUGGUAAUCGGAGUAAAAACAAGACAGUAUUUCUAAUUGCCAAGCGAGAGACAAUUCAUCCUCCUCCCCGUGCGUCGUAGCUCCCAUCCGGCUACCCCCCUGUGGCCAGUGAAGGUGUCCCGUGAUCAGAAGCGUGUCGCAUCCGUCCCCCAAGGACCCUGACGUCCGGUACUCGAUGAAACUCGCCCAUAUUCCCCUACCGAGCCCACGGCGACAUCAUCUCUCCGCCCACAUUUAUCAUGUUGGCGAUGAUAAGGUCUCUUUUUCAUGGAAAAUACGGUAAACAUUUAGAACCCCAUCAACCUUCGCGAUAAGAAGAGGUCCUUAUUUUUUGGCUUAAAAAGUACCCACCGAAAAUUGACAAAUUUGCCGAAAAUUGUUUGUCAUCAUACUUCAGAAACUGGAGGACAGGUGAGCAGCCCCGAGUGCAAAGCAACAAUUGUCGUCAAAAAUUCCUUCAACAAUUCCAACCACUUAAAUCUUACGGAUUCUCAGAACUUGACAUCAUUGAGCUAUUCGAUCAAAAUAAAGACAUCGAAGAACUGCGAGUUUGGAUUGGAACGAAUGCGGAAAUCGUGGCCGGGUUGAACACACAAAUCGUCCCACUUUUGCAUCACGAUCAACACGAGGCAGAAAUUCGCAUGAAUGCAAUCGAUUACAAGUUGGCACUCAAAAUGUCCCUUCAAGAAGACGAAGAUGAUGCAUCCUAAAUUGUCAGUCGUAUCUAAAUCUUCGCUAAUAUUUAGUUAAUUAAUUAAACUAAGUGAUUAAUUAAAACCAUAAUUCUACUCAUGCAAAAGUUCAUCUGUCGACAAGAAUUUGAGUACAAUUUUGCAAAGUAUGUGCGAAAUCUUAAUUAAUCACAGCUAUAAUUUUACUCGAGUUCGUCCUAUAAAUUUAUGUGCUUAAAGCCAUGCCAUCCCCAUCUUCAAUAAUUUUUUAUUAAGUAUUUAAUUUACGUACAAUUUUGCAUAAUAUGAAUAUGUAAAAUCUUAAUUAAUUAAUUAUUGCGACAAUUUUACUCGCGUUAAUCUCAUGAACUUAAAUCUUCAUCUUUACCAAUAUUUCGUUAAUUAAAUUAACUAAUUAUAACGAUAAUUUCAUUUCUUUAAUAAGGGUUCAUCUCAUCAAUUGCUUGAUGAAGGGGCAAUUUUUUUACUAAAUGCGUAUCAUCUUGUAUACUUACUUAAUUGUAUCAUGCGCGUUAAUAAUAAACAAAUGCAAAAGCUCAGUUAUGCAAAUUUUGUAUAAAUUUUCUUCGCGAGAAGUGGUAUUUUUUAUUAAA